This 77-nucleotide transfer RNA is filed under the name Candidatus Poseidonia alphae. RNAcentral describes it as "tRNA-Arg". It matches the Rfam family "tRNA". Rfam says of the family: Transfer RNA (tRNA) molecules are approximately 80 nucleotides in length. Their secondary structure includes four short double-helical elements and three loops (D, anti-codon, and T loops). RNAcentral also lists the same sequence under 2 other names. Lineage: Archaea; Methanobacteriati; Thermoplasmatota; Candidatus Poseidoniia; Candidatus Poseidoniales; Candidatus Poseidoniaceae. The record is from RNAcentral.
GGGCGAUUGGGGUAGCUUGGAUAUCCUGACGGGCUUCGAACCCGUCGACGCGGGUUCGAAUCCUGCAUCGCCCACCA